Long non-coding RNA from Zootermopsis nevadensis, 476 nucleotides. RefSeq lists it as uncharacterized. The record is from RefSeq and is a predicted model, not a curated record. NCBI's taxonomy places the organism in Eukaryota, Metazoa, Arthropoda, Insecta, Blattodea, Termopsidae.
GAUUGAUCAAUAGUCCCAAAUAUUCCACCUGCAGUACGGAACUGACUAUAUGUGAUAAAGCUAAUCAAAUAUGAAGUGUUUCAUCUUACUUCUUACGUUUGUCUUUUCCUCUCUGAUCUACCAAGUGACAACACUGUCAUACAAUUAUCACAGAUCAGGGGAUAAAUACCCUCAAGCUGCACAGGCUAAGAAACGAUCUUGGGAAUAUGGGGCUGAAGACUUAAAUGACAAUGAAAUCGAAGAACCGGGCAAAUUUGGUCUAAUAGACGGUAUAAUUAGCUGUAUUCUUACAAUUGUCAAUUCACUGUUUGGGUAUUUUCCAUCUGGCGCGUACCCACACAUCCCUCGCAACAGCACAGACGUCUACCCUGAUCAACACGAGGCAUAUUGGCAACAACACAACUGAGUCUAAUUAAUGGCAGCGAGGAAGCAAAUGUAGUAAAUUUAAUUAAUUUGUAUACCGUAUACAUUUAUGA